RNAcentral lists this ribosomal RNA (894 nucleotides) under Escherichia coli. Its description in RNAcentral is "partial 23S ribosomal RNA". It matches the Rfam family "Bacterial large subunit ribosomal RNA", at positions 1 to 934 of the family's 2925-position model. Lineage: Bacteria; Pseudomonadati; Pseudomonadota; Gammaproteobacteria; Enterobacterales; Enterobacteriaceae. The record is from RNAcentral.
GGUUAAGCGACUAAGCGUACACGGUGGAUGCCCUGGCAGUCAGAGGCGAUGAAGGACGUGCUAAUCUGCGAUAAGCGUCGGUAAGGUGAUAUGAACCGUUAUAACCGGCGAUUUCCGAAUGGGGAAACCCAGUGUGAUUCGUCACACUAUCAUUAACUGAAUCCAUAGGUUAAUGAGGCGAACCGGGGGAACUGAAACAUCUAAGUACCCCGAGGAAAAGAAAUCAACCGAGAUUCCCCCAGUAGCGGCGAGCGAACGGGGAGCAGCCCAGAGCCUGAAUCAGUGUGUGUGUUAGUGGAAGCGUCUGGAAAGGCGCGCGAUACAGGGUGACAGCCCCGUACACAAAAAUGCACAUGCUGUGAGCUCGAUGAGUAGGGCGGGACACGUGGUAUCCUGUCUGAAUAUGGGGGGACCAUCCUCCAAGGCUAAAUACUCCUGACUGACCGAUAGUGAACCAGUACCGUGAGGGAAAGGCGAAAAGAACCCCGGCGAGGGGAGUGAAAAAGAACCUGAAACCGUGUACGUACAAGCAGUGGGAGCACAGAGCAAUCUGUGUGACUGCGUACCUUUUGUAUAAUGGGUCAGCGACUUAUAUUCUGUAGCAAGGUUAACCGAAUAGGGGAGCCGAAGGGAAACCGAGUCUUAACUGGGCGUUAAGUUGCAGGGUAUAGACCCGAAACCCGGUGAUCUAGCCAUGGGCAGGUUGAAGGUUGGGUAACACUAACUGGAGGACCGAACCGACUAAUGUUGAAAAAUUAGCGGAUGACUUGUGGCUGGGGGUGAAAGGCCAAUCAAACCGGGAGAUAGCUGGUUCUCCCCGAAAGCUAUUUAGGUAGCGCCUCGUGAAUUCAUCUCCGGGGGUAGAGCACUGUUUCGGCAAGGGGGUCAUCCCGA